Molecule: ribosomal RNA, 274 nt
Filed under: uncultured bacterium
Lineage: Bacteria
Description: partial 16S ribosomal RNA
Rfam family: Archaeal small subunit ribosomal RNA
Source: RNAcentral
AAACCAGCACCUCAAGUGGUCAGGAUGAUUAUUGGGCCUAAAGCAUCCGUAGCCGGCUCUGUAAGUUUUCGGUUAAAUCUGUACGCUCAACGUACAGGCUGCUGGGAAUACUGCAGGGCUAGGGAGUGGGAGAGAUAGACGGUACUCGGGAGGAAGUGGUAAAAUGCUUUGAUCUCUCGAUGACCACCUGUGGCGAAGGCGGUCUACCAGAACACGUCCGACGGUGAGGGAUGAAAGCUGGGGGAGCAAACCGGAUUAGAAACCCGAGUAGUCC